Molecule: ribosomal RNA, 301 nt
Filed under: uncultured bacterium
Lineage: Bacteria
Description: partial 16S ribosomal RNA
Rfam family: Bacterial small subunit ribosomal RNA
Source: RNAcentral
CAGUCGCCGCGGUAAUACGAAGGGGGCUAGCGUUGCUCGGAAUGACUGGGCGUAAAGGGCGCGUAGGCGGCGAUCAAAGUCAGGCGUGAAAUUCCUGGGCUCAACCUGGGGGCUGCGCUUGAUACUUGGUUGCUUGAGUGGGGAAGAGGGUCGUGGAAUUCCCAGUGUAGAGGUGAAAUUCGUAGAUAUUGGGAAGAACACCGGUGGCGAAGGCGGCGACCUGGUCCUUGACUGACGCUGAGGCGCGAAAGCGUGGGGAGCAAACAGGAUUAGAUACCCCUGUAGUCCCUGUCUCUUAUAC